RNAcentral lists this ribosomal RNA (253 nucleotides) under uncultured bacterium. Its description in RNAcentral is "partial 16S ribosomal RNA". It matches the Rfam family "Bacterial small subunit ribosomal RNA", at positions 524 to 776 of the family's 1533-position model. The record is from RNAcentral.
UACGAAGGGGGCUAGCGUUGCUCGGAAUCACUGGGCGUAAAGCGCACGUAGGCGGCUUCUUAAGUCAGGGGUGAAAUCCUGGAGCUCAACUCCAGAACUGCCUUUGAUACUGAGAAGCUUGAGUCCGGGAGAGGUGAGUGGAACUGCGAGUGUAGAGGUGAAAUUCGUAGAUAUUCGCAAGAACACCAGUGGCGAAGGCGGCUCACUGGCCCGGUACUGACGCCGAGGUGCGAAAGCAUGGGGAGCAAACAGG